This 75-nucleotide transfer RNA is filed under the name Cordylochernes scorpioides. RNAcentral's name for it is "tRNA-Thr". It matches the Rfam family "tRNA". Rfam says of the family: Transfer RNA (tRNA) molecules are approximately 80 nucleotides in length. Their secondary structure includes four short double-helical elements and three loops (D, anti-codon, and T loops). Lineage: Eukaryota; Metazoa; Arthropoda; Arachnida; Pseudoscorpiones; Chernetidae. The record is from RNAcentral.
GUCCAGGGUAGCCUAGUGGUCAUGGCAUCUGGCCGGUAAGCGGAAGGUCGUGGGUUCGAUUCCCAUCCCUUGACA